UACGUAGGGUGCGAGCGUUGUCCGGAAUUAUUGGGCGUAAAGAGCUCGUAGGCGGUUUGUCACGUCUGCUGUGAAAUCCCGAGGCUCAACCUCGGGCCUGCAGUGGGUACGGGCAGACUGGAGUGCGGUAGGGGAGAAUGGAAUUCCUGGUGUAGCGGUGGAAUGCGCAGAUAUCAGGAGGAACACCGAUGGCGAAGGCAGGUCACUGGGCCGCAACUGACGCUGAGGAGCGAAAGCAUGGGGAGCGAACAGG
Molecule: ribosomal RNA, 253 nt
Filed under: uncultured bacterium
Lineage: Bacteria
Description: partial 16S ribosomal RNA
Rfam family: Bacterial small subunit ribosomal RNA
Source: RNAcentral